RNAcentral lists this ribosomal RNA (441 nucleotides) under uncultured bacterium. RNAcentral's name for it is "partial 16S ribosomal RNA". It matches the Rfam family "Bacterial small subunit ribosomal RNA", at positions 338 to 795 of the family's 1533-position model. The record is from RNAcentral.
CCUACGGGAGGCAGCAGUGGGGAAUAUUGCACAAUGGGGGAAACCCUGAUGCAGCAACGCCGCGUGAGUGAGGAAGUAUUUCGGUAUGUAAAGCUCUAUCAGCAGGGAAGAAGCAAGACGGUACCUGACUAAGAAGCCCCGGCUAACUACGUGCCAGCAGCCGCGGUAAUACGUAGGGGGCAAGCGUUCUCCGGAUUUACUGGGGUGAAAGGGAGCGUAGGCGGUAUGGCAAGUCUGAAGUGAAAGCCCAGGGCUUAACCCUGGGACUGCUUUGGAAACUGGUAGACUAGAGUGCUGGAGAGGUAAGUGGAAUGCCUAGUGUAGCGGUGAAAUGCGUAGAGAUUAGGAGGAACACCAGUGGCGAAGGCGGCUUACUGGACAGUAACUGACGCUGAGGCUCGAAAGCGUGGGGAGCAAACAGGAUUAGAUACCCCUGUAGUC